UUAUUGAUGCUUCCAAGACAAGCGUAGAUUACAGAGCUUGGUUGUUGAGAAUCAAGCCAGCUGAGACAUUGAUGUUCAUCAACUGCAGCUUUCUUCCCUCUCUGUGCCUUGUCUAAACCAGACUUGUUGCAGAGAGAAAGAGGUCCAAUGCUCCAUACCUUUUUUCUUUUUAACUCUCUGUACUCUCUGACGUACUCUGCUUCAAUUUUUUCAAAAGUGUUCAUAAUCACCCCGUAUGAUUCUUUAUCUGCUUCUAAUAUCUCCUCUCUACUCUCUUUCCAGAUUUCAUCAGUGGGUAUUGGUAUCUGUGCUCUUGUAAAUUUAAUUUCAUCCGGCAUGUUUGGCACAGUGAAAUACUCGGAGUCGGAGGUUACAGUCUCGACAAUCUUAGAAAGAAAUCCAUCUGCCAUGAUAUUAUGCAUGCACAAAAGGUAGAAGCAGCUUGUUCCAUGAAAGGAAAUUCUAGGUAUCUGAAACUUACCGGCGAUUUUGUUUGUAUACGGCAAGCAGAAAUCGGAGACGAUGCAGGACGGUGGUGGUGAUAGCUCCUCAAAUAAUCUCUCGACCGGUUCUUGAAACAAGUUGGUUGCUUUGAAGAAAUUAAGGAGUAAUCC
This 614-nucleotide long non-coding RNA is filed under the name Carica papaya (papaya). RNAcentral describes it as "long non-coding RNA (CPAP_LNC012322)". The record is from RNAcentral. Lineage: Eukaryota; Viridiplantae; Streptophyta; Magnoliopsida; Brassicales; Caricaceae.